AUACGGAGGGUGCGAGCGUUAAUCGGAAUUACUGGGCGUAAAGCGCACGUAGGCGGUUUGAUAAGUCGGAUGUGAAAGCCCCGGGCUCAACCUGGGAACUGCAUUCGAUACUGUCAGACUAGAGUAUGGUAGAGGGAAGUGGAAUUCCGGGUGUAGCGGUGAAAUGCGUAGAUAUCCGGAGGAACACCAGUGGCGAAGGCGGCUUCCUGGACCAAUACUGACGCUGAGGUGCGAAAGCGUGGGGAGCAAACAGGAGUAGAUACCCGAGUAGUCC
Molecule: ribosomal RNA, 274 nt
Filed under: uncultured bacterium
Lineage: Bacteria
Description: partial 16S ribosomal RNA
Rfam family: Bacterial small subunit ribosomal RNA
Source: RNAcentral